GUGGGGAAUCUUGCGCAAUGGGCGAAAGCCUGACGCAGCCAUGCCGCGUGGAUGAUGAAGGUCUUAGGAUUGUAAAAUCCUUUCACCGGUGAAGAUAAUGACUGUAGCCGGAGAAGAAGCCCCGGCUAACUUCGUGCCAGCAGCCGCGGUAAUACGAAGGGGGCUAGCGUUGCUCGGAUUUACUGGGCGUAAAGGGCGCGUAGGCGGACAUUUAAGUCAGGGGUGAAAUCCCGGGGCUCAACCUCGGAACUGCCUUUGAUACUGGGUGUCUUGAGUAUGAGAGAGGUGUGUGGAACUCCGAGUGUAGAGGUGAAAUUCGUAGAUAUUCGGAAGAACACCAGUGGCGAAGGCGACACACUGGCUCGUUACUGACGCUGAGGCGCGAAAGCGUGGGGAGCAAACAGGAUUAGAUACCCUUGUAGUCC
Molecule: ribosomal RNA, 425 nt
Filed under: uncultured bacterium
Lineage: Bacteria
Description: partial 16S ribosomal RNA
Rfam family: Bacterial small subunit ribosomal RNA
Source: RNAcentral